AUUGAACGCUGGCGGCAGGCCUAACACAUGCAAGUCGAGCGGAUGAAGGGAGCUUGCUCCUGGAUUCAGCGGCGGACGGGUGAGUAAUGCCUAGGAAUCUGCCUGGUAGUGGGGGAUAACGUCCGGAAACGGGCGCUAAUACCGCAUACGUCCUGAGGGAGAAAGUGGGGGAUCUUCGGACCUCACGCUAUCAGAUGAGCCUAGGUCGGAUUAGCUAGUUGGUGGGGUAAAGGCCUACCAAGGCGACGAUCCGUAACUGGUCUGAGAGGAUGAUAGGUCACACUGGAAGUGGGCCAGGGUCCAGACUCCUACGGGAGGCAGCAGUGGGGAAUAUUGGACAAUGGGCGAAAGCCUGAUCCAGCCAUGCCGCGUGUGUGAAGAAGGUCUUCGGAUUGUAAAGCACUUUAAGUUGGGAGGAAGGGCAGUAAGUUAAUACCUUGCUGUUUUGACGGUACCAACAGAAUAAGCACCGGCUAACUUCGUG
This 484-nucleotide ribosomal RNA is filed under the name uncultured bacterium. RNAcentral describes it as "partial 16S ribosomal RNA". It matches the Rfam family "Bacterial small subunit ribosomal RNA", at positions 30 to 507 of the family's 1533-position model. The record is from RNAcentral.